Molecule: RNA transcript, 1213 nt
Organism: Juglans regia (Persian walnut)
Lineage: Eukaryota; Viridiplantae; Streptophyta; Magnoliopsida; Fagales; Juglandaceae
Exons: 7
Source: RefSeq, a predicted model, not a curated record
GCCACCUGCUGGUACAAGUUUUGCCUAUAAAUUAUUAAGAGAAGAAAGCUCCUAAUAUCUUUGAUUUGUACGCAACCAGCAGAAAAAAUUACACACCAUUCGGAGCCCUGAUCCAUAGCAUGCAGGUGAUUGUAAAUAUUAGCCCUAAUCGGCAGGAACAUACAAACAAGAGAGAUGAUGGUCAUGUGUUGCCAAGAGAUCAUGAUCAGGAGCCGAAAAAGAGUUUUGUUGGGUGGGAUCAAGAGUACAGCAGUAGUACUACUAUAGAUCAGGGUAAAAGCAAUAUUAUGGGCAGCGAGAUGAAGAGCAUGCGCAAGCCUGGAGAAGAAAGCCUAGUAGUAAGGCAGGAAUAUUUAAGCGACAACGUCGUCGAAAGAGACACAAAACCCAAGCCUGUUGUGGGUAAUCCUACUGGGUAUGAUUAUUUUCUGUCGUCAAAAAGGGAGUGUAGUACUACUGGUGUUCUCGGGGAGGAGACUUCAACCAAGAUGAUCUGUUGUCAACAGAGAAGAAAAAAGGUGGCAGAAGUACUCCAAAAAAUGUCGUGGACGGCGUUGCACGGACAAGUUCUCCACUUGAAGAGGAGAAGAAAGGUGAAUCCCAUGUUACUGAGGAGCGCACAAAGCUAAUGCAACAUAUCAAAACCGGGAGUUGUCAAGGAAAGGUGGUUGGGUGAUGAGGAAUUUGAAAGUAUAAGUUUGCUCCAGCUGAAGGGUAAGGCAUGGCAUGAGCUCAUACGAAGUUGGCUAGAUCCACUCUUGAAAGGAAGCCAACAAGCGUAAUAACAACUGGUUGCCACCACCAUGGGCAAUUGUUGCAUUGAUGGUCUUGGGAUUCAAUGAGUUUAUGAUGCUCCUGAGAAAUCCUUUGUAAUUGGGUGUUAUCUUUGUUGCUUUUCUACUCAUGAAGGCCAUAUGGGUGCAGCUGGACAUUUCUGGUGAAUUUCGUCAUGGUGCUCUCAUGUAGGAGGCAGUAGAUGGAAUUCUUGAUAACCCUGUUCCAGACAGCUGGAUUGAUCUUUGCCGCUCACUCACCAAGUCAUCGGAAAUCAUCAACCAUCGAUGUGCGAAGUUGCGGAUGAACUCCCCCCACCAUUAUUUGUUUAUACUUGUAUCACCUGGAUUGUGGAUGUUUGAUCUGUACUUUAAAGCUUGUAAGAGACAUUAGCUGCUCCCAUUUGUAAGACUUUAUUGCCUUCCAUUAAUGCACCAUA